CAAGUCGCACGAGAAAGGUUUCGCAAGAGACCAAGUAAAGUGGCGGACGGGUGAGUAAUGCAUAGAUAACUUGCCCUCAAGACGGGGAUAACUCUUCGAAAGAGGUGCUAAUACCCGAUACUGUCCUGACCUGUCGGGGUUUGGAUGAAAGGAGGCCUCUGAUACAAGCUUCCGCUCGAGGAGAGGUUUAUGUCCUAUUAGCUAGUUGGUGAGGUAACGGCUCACCGAGGCUUCGAUGGGUAGCCGACCUGAGAGGGUGACCGGCCACACUGGGACUGAGACACUGCCCAGACUCCUACGGGAGGCUGCAGUCGAGAAUCUUCCGCAAUGCGCGCAAGCGUGACGGAGCGACGCCGCGUGGGUGAUGAAGGCCUUCGGGUUGUAAAACCCUGUUAGCUACUAUGAACCGCAGGUGGUGAAUAGCCAUCCUGCCUGACGUAAGUAGCAGAGGAAGCACCGGCUAACUACGUGCCAGCAGCCGCGGUAAUACGUAGGGUGCGAACGUUGUUCGGAAUCACUGGGCAUAAAGGGCGCGUAGGCGGUCCAUUAAGUCCUUUGUGAAAGCCCCCGGCUCAACCGGGGAAUAGCAGGGGAUACUGUUGGGCUAGAGUGCAGGAGGGGAGAGCGGAAUUCCUGGUGGAGCGGUGAAAUGCGUAGAUAUCAGGAGGAACGCCGGUGGCGAAAGCGGCUCUCUGGUCUGUUACUGACGCUGAGGCGCGAAAGCUAGGGGAGCAAACGGGAUUAGAUACCCCGGUAGUCCUAGCCCUAAACGAUGGGUACUAAGUAGAGGGGACUCCGAUGUUCUCUCUGCCGGAGCUAAUGUAUUAAGUACCCCGCCUGGGGAGUAUGGUCGCAAGGCUAAAACUCAAAGGAAUUGACGGGGGCUCACACAAGCGGUGGA
RNAcentral lists this ribosomal RNA (901 nucleotides) under uncultured Bacillota bacterium. RNAcentral's name for it is "bacterial SSU rRNA". It matches the Rfam family "Bacterial small subunit ribosomal RNA", at positions 58 to 936 of the family's 1533-position model. The record is from RNAcentral. Lineage: Bacteria; Bacillati; Bacillota.